AGUGAACGCUGGCGGUAGGCCUAACACAUGCAAGUCGAACGGCAGCACAGUAAGAGCUUGCUCUUACGGGUGGCGAGUGGCGGACGGGUGAGGAAUACAUCGGAAUCUACUUUUUCGUGGGGGAUAACGUAGGGAAACUUACGCUAAUACCGCAUACGACCUACGGGUGAAAGCAGGGGAUCUUCGGACCUUGCGCGAUUGAAUGAGCCGAUGUCGGAUUAGCUAGUUGGCGGGGUAAAGGCCCACCAAGGCGACGAUCCGUAGCUGGUCUGAGAGGAUGAAGGGAGAAAAGGGAACUGAGAAACGGUGAAGGAGCCUCUGGGAGGCAGAAGUAGGGAGUAUGCGAGAAUGGGCGAAAGCAUGACGGAGCAACGACGAGUGAGGGAUGAAAGUCUUCGGAUCGUACAGAUCUGCUAUCGGGGAAGAAAAAAUGUGUACGUACAUAUGUACGGCGUGACGGUACCUAAUAAGAAAGCAACGGCUAACUACGUG
RNAcentral lists this ribosomal RNA (492 nucleotides) under uncultured bacterium. RNAcentral describes it as "partial 16S ribosomal RNA". It matches the Rfam family "Bacterial small subunit ribosomal RNA", at positions 29 to 507 of the family's 1533-position model. The record is from RNAcentral.